Molecule: ribosomal RNA, 314 nt
Filed under: uncultured eukaryote
Lineage: Eukaryota
Description: partial Bacterial large subunit ribosomal RNA
Rfam family: Bacterial large subunit ribosomal RNA
Source: RNAcentral
GGGUAAGUUCCGACCUGCACGAAUGGCGUAACGACUUCCCCACUGUCUCCAGGACAUGCUCAGCGAAAUUGAAUUCUCCGUGAAGAUGCGGAGUACCCGCGGUUAGACGGAAAGACCCCGUGCACCUUUACUGCAGCUUCAGAGUGGCAUUAGGAAAGAACUGUGUAGCAUAGGUGGGAGGCUUUGAAGCAUCGGCGCCAGCUGAUGUGGAGCCAUAGGUGAAAUACCACCCUGUUGUUUUCUGAUGUCUAACCUCGAACCAUGAAACUGGUUCAGGGACCCUCUGUGGCGGGUAGUUUGACUGGGGCGGUCGC